RNAcentral lists this transfer RNA (86 nucleotides) under Mycolicibacterium poriferae. RNAcentral's name for it is "tRNA-His". Lineage: Bacteria; Bacillati; Actinomycetota; Actinomycetes; Mycobacteriales; Mycobacteriaceae. The record is from RNAcentral.
CCAGCAGGUAGGCGAUCCGGCCGACCGUGACGCUGUGGGCGUUGCCGGUGGCCGAGUACGCGUCGAUGGUGUCGGGGUUGCCGGCC